This 380-nucleotide ribosomal RNA is filed under the name uncultured eukaryote. RNAcentral's name for it is "partial 18S ribosomal RNA". It matches the Rfam family "Eukaryotic small subunit ribosomal RNA", at positions 592 to 976 of the family's 1831-position model. The record is from RNAcentral.
CAAUAGCGUAUAUUAAAGUUGUUGCGGUUAAAAAGCUCGUAGUUGGAGUUCUGCCAGGUGCCGCCUGUCCGCCCCAGUGGUGAGUACGUGGCGCGCAUUUGGCCCUUUCAAGGGGAGCGUAUCUGCACUUUAUUGUGUGGUGCGGGAUCCUUGACUUUUACUUUGAGGAAAUAGGAGUGUUCCAAGCAGGCUCUCGUCGUGCACAGCUCAGCAUGGAAUAAUAGCAUUGGACCUCGAUUCUAAGCUGUUGGUUGCCAGAAGCGAGGUAAUGAUGAAGAGGGAUAGUUGGGGGCAUUCGUAUUUAACUGUCAGGGGUGAAAUUCUUGGAUUUGUUAAAGACGGACUACUGCGAAAGCAUCUGCCAUGGAUGUUUUCAUUGA